AGGUUGGAAUAAGAAAACACCUUCCUAAGUGGGCUUAGCAUAGAUGUAUUCCCCAGUAAAAUGUUUCCUCUUUAAUGAGGAAACAUAGGCUCAGAAUUUGAAAAGAUUUAUCUCUCUAAAGCCUAAAAAACAAUUUUUAGAAAGGUAUUCAUUUUCAUGAAUGGGGUAUAAUAUUUCCAGAGAUGGAAUUUAUCUGGAAUAGUAUAAGCUUUGGCUCUUUGCAAAGAAUCAAAGUUACCAAAGCAACUGCAUUCAGUACUUGAUUAUAGAGGAUAGACAAGAUUUGAAGCACAUCAUUUGACUGUUUUUCUUCCACCAGAAUUUUAAAACCAAGAUAAAAGGUAGCAUUAUGAAAUCUGUAAAACUUCCUUUGAGAUAAAACAAGAGUCAUGAUUUUAGAAAGAAUAUCACACAAAUUAUCAAAAGAAAAUGGAAAUUCCAAUUUGGACAAUCAUUCUUUUUGCCCACUGCUCUACAGAUUUCAGAGACUUUAGUUUUGACUCUAAAAUGCUUUAGUAAGUAUUCAUUUGCAGAAUUAUGUGCUAAUACAGUGAAUCAGUAUAUAGAAGAUGCCCUCUUCAAAGUUGCCUUAUUUCAUAUGCAAAUAAUAAAUGAUUUUCUGUGACUUAAUUUAUUUACCAAAUGAAUAGCAGUAAAAUAUACCCUUUAUAUAGAUUUGGACCUACAUAGAUUCAAAUGAGGUAUGCAAGUAAAUUAUAUAUGUUCAAUUAAUUUUAUAGGAAAAAUAGAUAUUUAAAGAUAUAUCCAAAAUGAUGGCUUAGUAAUUGUCACAUAAAUUUAAUAUUUGAGAGAGACAGAACUAGGGAGAGUUUCAUAUGCCAAGGCAUUGCACAGCACUGUGAUGUUUCCUGAGAAACACCAAAGCAACUGAGUUCUAGCCACAUGCCAUUGCAUCACAUAUCUUAAUAAUUUAAAAACUCCUCUUUAAACUUAUACAGUGAAGAUUCAAAACCUGACGUAAACAUAAUUAAGACUAAGUGUUUUAUUAUUUACUUCUUGUUUGGUUUCAAUGAGUCCAUAAGAUUAAAUGAAUGGAAAGGCAAACAACUAAUGUUGUUUAAUACAGUAAUAUUAUUCACAGUCUUCCUCUGUAAAAAUCCAGCCUACAGAUGUGUGUGUGUGUGUGUGUGUGUGUGUGUGUGUGUGUGUUUGUGUCUGUCUUUGAACAUGUAUGUAUAUGCACCUUGAGGAAGGCGCAUAUAAGGAACCUUCCUCAAGGUGGGAAAUAAACCUUGGGAAUUUGAAUCCUUUCUCUCUCAUUCCAGCUAUAUGCACUUGGUAAGUUCACCAAUACUUAAAUACCACAAUUUGCACAUCUUUAAAAAAAAAAAAAAGAUAAUGAUUGUUACCUCAAAGGGCUGCAGAAUACCCUCCCAACAAACAUUUGGUGCUGGAAUCAGCUCACACUGGCAUGCAAAAGCCAAAUGUAUGCAUCUUUUUUUUAGCUCCCAUUCAGUGAUAUCACAUUGGCAGCCUUGAAAGCAGACUUGUUGGAAGUAGUCAUUCCAUGAAAAUCAACAGGACAUAUCACCUCCCCCUGCCCAGAAGCAGUUUUAAUAGGACACAACUGAAUGUCAUAUUGUAUGUAGACAAUGAAUAAUAGUUCUUUAGUCAUUAUUAUUAUUAUUAUUAUUGUCUUUUUGUCCUUUUAGGGCUGCACCCAUGGCAUAUGGAGGUUCCCAGGAUAGGGUCUUAUCAGAGCGGGAGCCGCUGGCCUACACCAGAGCCACCGCAAUGCCAGAUCCAAGCCUCAGCUGUGACCUACACCACAGCUUAGGGCAAUGCUGCCACACAUCCUUAACCCAAUGAGUGAGGCCAGGGAUCGAAUCUGAAACCUGGUGGUUCCUAGUUAAAUUCAUCUCCGCUGAGCCAUUAUGGGAACUCUGUUCUUUAGCCAUUAUUAAGCCAUUUAAAUAGUAGCUAUAUCUGGACUCAUGUAUAAAUUAGAAAUAUAUAUGAACAUCUAAGAGACUGUGAAUAAAAGUAUCUUUAAGUUAAGAUCUGAAGAUCAGUAAUAUAUAGCAAUAGUAAUAACAACAAAAAUUAGAAAUUCUGAAUUUCUAAAUUAAAUAAUCUUCAGUGGCUCUCAAUAUACAGACAUUUAUAUAGAAUUAGACAACUUUCCUAGAAUUUUGUGAUUAAUAUAAUUUAUUGCACUGCUGCCAUCAUUCCAAUGGUGUAAAGUAUUUAUCUAGGUUUGCUUUUGGAAUUCAGAGAGCUGUUUGUGAUUUCAUCUUUUCAUGUAUAUUUUGUUAGGUGUAUGCAUCUUCCCUUGGAGUCUAUAAUUUAUGCUACCUUCAAAAUGCUCUAAAUUCUUAAAACACAAAAUAAAAUGUAUUUUAAUGUCACAUUAGAGUGACUUUUUUUCUGGGAAAAAAUACAAAGUAAAUCAAUUUCUGUAGUUGCUAUUGGCAGGGAAUACCCUAGAUUCCCAUUAAAUCCAAUCCUAUAAUGGUGGUAACAGUUUUGUUUAUCUUUACUUUGUAUCAUGCUGUGAAUUUCAAUAGAAAUACUGUUUCCAAAUAUCCUUAAUGGAUUUUUUCCUACAGUAUGUGCAUUUAUUUAUGAGUGGGUAACUCUAUGUACUAGCUUUCAAAAAUGGAUAAAAUAUUGUAGAUUGUUGUUAUUUCAGUGAAGAAUUGUGUGAAUUGUUCUUUUAGGUAGAAUCAGGAGUUCGGUGAAAGUACACAAAAGAACAAAUAAAUCAAGUAAAAUAUAUAGGACUGUGCAAAGUAAGGUCCAUUCUCAUGAAAAGAAAAUACAUAUCUUAUCUGAUGAUUUUUCUUUGAUGCUAAAAGUUGCUGAUAAUCUAUGCAUGCUUGCCAUAAAAAGUCUUUCUUAUACACUGUUUUUCCUUGGGCACUUUGUUGUUUCUCUAUAUUCUUCACAAUGUGGACAUCAGUUGUUAGCUUUAAACAAAAAGUUUAAAAUGGCAAUGCUAGUUUAUAUGUCUAGAUAUGUGAGAUCUUGGAUCUGCAAUAAAAAUUACUGUAACUACAGAUAGAUGUACAAUAUGAAAGAAGAUUUUCAUCCAGAAAUUAAUUAUAAAGCAUUCUGGACAAAUGUUUAAAUUAUAUUUGAUAAUCACAUUUGACCAUCCAAUAGUAAAGCUUCAGAGUUGGAGACUAUCUCUAUCUUAAUGUGUACUACUGAAAUAAAUGGCAAGCUGGAUUCAGGCUUUGGGACUAUUCCAUUUCCUUUGAGCUUCUUAAUCUAGUUGUCAUGUAAAGGAGUUAUAUGUCUUGGAAUUUGAUCUUAAAAUCAAAAUCAUUCAAAGAUUUCUGCUUCCAUCCUAAUAGAGAAAUUUACACCCGAUUAGCCUUUCCAAUAUAAAUGAUUAAAAUAUAUGCAAAAUAUACAAAAAAUGCUAUUUUUAUAUAUUGCCUAAAAGGGAACACAAGUUUGUAAUUUUAACAGGUAAUAUGGAAAACAGAUCCCUGUCUGCCAAUAGCCAGAGGAGAGGGAGAUGAUUGGCUUUAUAGAAAUAUAGGGGGAUUUUGCAGGGCAAUGAACAUGCUCUGUGUCACUUUGUUGGUUGUUACACAACUCUACAUUAGACACAUGUGAGCAACUGAAACACACAAAAUUGGAGAAUUGUAUGCAUAUAAAUUAUUCCUCGACAAAAUGAUUAAAAGAACUGAUCAUAGACCUAAAUUUAAAAAGCCAGGAGUUCCUGUUGUGGCACAGUGGGUUAAGAACACAAUGUAGCAGCAUAUGGAGGUUCCCAGGCUAGGUGUCCAAUCGGAGCUGCAGCUGCUGGCCUACGCCACAGCCACAGUAAUGCCAGAUCCGAGACGUAUCUGUGACCUACACUGCAACUCACAGCAACACCAGAUUCUUAACCCACUGUGCAAGGCCAGGGAUCAAACCUGCGUCCUCAUGGAUGCUAGCCAGAUGUGUUUCUGCUGAGCCACUAGGGGAACUCCCAAAACACAUUUCUUAAGAAAAUAAAAACAGUUCCCAGCUGAAAGAAAAUAUUCAAUAUGUCUGUAUCUAUAGCUGUAUCUGUAUUCAUAAUUCUAUAUAUGAUAAAGUUUCUAUAUUUUCAAAAAAUCUUACAAUACAAUAAUAAAAUAAAAAUCAUUUUUUAAAAAGAGAAAAUGCAGCAGUCAUGACUAAACACUAAUAAACUAAAAUUCAAUGGCUCAAUAAUUUUACUUAUCAAGAAAAGGCAAAUUAAACCAUAAUUAGAUGUCAUUAUAUACCCUUCAGGGUGUCUAAUUUAGAAAAGACUGGUGAGGGAGUUUCCAUUGUGGUGCAGUGGAAACGAACCCAACUAGGGACCCUUAGGUUGCGGUUCGAUCCGGGGCUUCACUCAGUGGGUUAAGGAUCCGGCAUUGCCAUGAGCUGUGGUAUAGGUUACAGAUGUGGCUCCAAUCUGGCAUUGCUGUGGCUGUGGCAUAGGCUGGCAGCUGUAGCUCUGAUUGGACCCCUAGCCUGGGAACCUACAUAUGCCAGGGUGUGGCCUAAAAGGCAAAAAAAAAAAAAAAAAAAAAAAAAAAAAAAAAAAAAAAAGGCUGGUAAUACUAAGUGUUGAUGGGAAAAUAAAAUUCAAAAUUUUAUGCCAGGAAUUUAAAAUGAUACAACCACUUAGGAAACCUCUAGUAGUUUCUUAUUAAUUCAAACAACUUUUCCCAGAUGACCUAGGUAUUUACCCAAGAGGACUGAAAAUCUUUAUCUGCACAAAUACUUUUACUGAAAUAGUCAUAAACACUUACAAUCUUCCAAGCCUGGAAACAAUCAUGUGUCCUGAUAUCUUUUUACAUAGGUGUUUAUGUCUAACUAUGUUUCUGACAAUAGAAUAUGAACAGAUUGCUGUCUCUUGUAUGCUGUUUGUGUGAGGUGCCAGAGGGCACUAUCCUCUAUCUCUUUGUGCUUUUACUCCUUCACUUGGGAAGUUUCCAGUUAGAGCUCCAAGAUAGGAGAAGACUGACUUCCUAGAUCACCUAAUAGAGUUGUCUUCAAUUGUGGCAUGGGUAAUAAAUCAAUUCAUUUGCGUUAAGCCUUUGAGAUAGGAAUUUUGAUUUCUUAGAGCAUCUUGUACUACUUUAACUGACAUAGUUAAUAUUUUCAACUCUAAUGCAACUGAUUUUUAUAAGUACCACAAAUCUUGAAAACACAGUCUAGUAUAGAAAGAAAUGCCUAAAUUCUUUAGCAAAGCAUGUUGUACAUACUUUGUAAAGACGGACAUCUUAUGAUUGAAUUCUGUGUUUUUAUUUACAGUUCUUAAUCUGUUUUAUCACAAAUUCUGAGUUAGCAGAAAGCUAGUUUGUUUUCUCAUUAUCCAAACAAGGGUUUUCAGAAUUGUAUAAGAGGCAACACAUGAUAGUGAUCACU
Molecule: long non-coding RNA, 5358 nt
Filed under: Sus scrofa (pig)
Lineage: Eukaryota; Metazoa; Chordata; Mammalia; Artiodactyla; Suidae
Description: lncRNA (ENSSSCG00000052050.1)
Source: RNAcentral